CAGUCGCCGCGGUAAUACGUAGGGUGCAAGCGUUAAUCGGAAUUACUGGGCGUAAAGCGUGCGCAGGCGGUCCGCUAAGACAGAUGUGAAAUCCCCGGGCUUAACCUGGGUACUGCAUUUGUGACUGGCGGGCUAGAGUAUGGCAGAGGGGGGUAGAAUUCCACGUGUAGCAGUGAAAUGCGUAGAGAUGUGGAGGAAUACCGAUGGCGAAGGCAGCCCCCUGGGCCAAUACUGACGCUCAUGCACGAAAGCGUGGGGAGCAAACAGGAUUAGAUACCCGCGUAGCCUGUCUCUUAUACAC
Molecule: ribosomal RNA, 301 nt
Filed under: uncultured bacterium
Lineage: Bacteria
Description: partial 16S ribosomal RNA
Rfam family: Bacterial small subunit ribosomal RNA
Source: RNAcentral